This 253-nucleotide ribosomal RNA is filed under the name uncultured bacterium. RNAcentral's name for it is "partial 16S ribosomal RNA". It matches the Rfam family "Bacterial small subunit ribosomal RNA", at positions 524 to 776 of the family's 1533-position model. The record is from RNAcentral.
UACGAAGGGUGCAAGCGUUACUCGGAAUUACUGGGCGUAAAGCGUGCGUAGGUGGUGAGUUAAGUCUGAUGUGAAAUCCCGCAGCUUAACUGCGGAACUGCAUUGGAAACUAUUUGACUAGAGGAAUGGAGGGGAGACUGGAAUACUUGGUGUAGCAGUGAAAUGCGUAGAUAUCAAGUGGAACACCAGUGGCGAAGGCGAGUCUCUGGACAUUUCCUGACGCUGAGGCACGAAAGCCAGGGGAGCAAACGGG